This 217-nucleotide unclassified non-coding RNA is filed under the name plant metagenome. RNAcentral's name for it is "partial contains small subunit ribosomal RNA, internal transcribed spacer 1, and 5.8S ribosomal RNA". The record is from RNAcentral.
UCUCCGUAGGUGAACCUGCGGAGGGAUCAUUACAAGUGACCCCGGUCUUACCACCGGGAUGUUCAUAACCCUUUGUCGUCCGACUCUGUUGCCUCCGGGGCGACCCUGCCUUCGGGCGGGAGCUCCGGGUGGACACUUCAAACUCUUGCGUAACUUUGCAGUCUGAGUAAACUUAAUUAAUAAAUUAAAACUUUUAACAACGGAUCUCUUGGUUCUG